Molecule: long non-coding RNA, 771 nt
Organism: Prunus avium (sweet cherry)
Lineage: Eukaryota; Viridiplantae; Streptophyta; Magnoliopsida; Rosales; Rosaceae
Source: RefSeq, a predicted model, not a curated record
UGGCCCAAUGGGCUAAAUGACUUUUUCUGUGUUUGGGCUUCCUUCCUAAUCGCCGGUUCCAACUCGGCCGACUCGGUAAUCCCCCAACCUCAUCUCCUCGUUCUUCUCCACCGUCGUCUCCGGCCAUGCCGACUCCGGUCGCAGCUUCUAGAAUCUCUAUGUGGGUCUUUUCAACAAAAAUUUACACCAACAAACUCAUCUUCGGUACUAAAUUAGGGUUAGGGUUGGUCCGCGUUUUGUUGAAAGAGAAUGCCCAGAAUUGCCUUGCCAGUUGCAGAAUAGAAGCCAUUGACAAGGAUGCUAUUUACAGGCACUCUUCUUAGCAUGUCAAAAUUUAGUGAAGGAACUAUAUUCUGGCUUUGGAGUAAAAGAAAUACAUUUGCACAAGAGUUUCUGUCUACAAACUCCGACACCUAGCUAGAAGCAUAAUGGAUGGCGGAAGGUGCACAGCGCAUGAUGCUCAGAGGUAGCAUCCCUAGGAUUACAUGGUAUAUUCCACCUCAGCUGGCUUUGGAAUUUCUGAGGGACCAUUUCAAAUUUUCAAUGAAGGAUUAAGCAAUGAUAACAUGCAAGAAGUUGCUACCAUCCAUGUCAGUAGAAGUCUUUACAAAGGAGAGCAAGAGGAACUUACUGAAUUUUUUCCCAUCAUGUCCAGUUUGUUGGACAGAUUGGGGCAUUUUUCAUGUAUCAAGUAAUAAUUUGGUCGGUAUUUAGUAAUAUUUUUCAUGUAAACAUAAAAGAAUAAAGGGAGGUUUAUGUUUUCUUGUUUUC